Molecule: long non-coding RNA, 1280 nt
Filed under: Coturnix japonica (Japanese quail)
Lineage: Eukaryota; Metazoa; Chordata; Aves; Galliformes; Phasianidae
Description: lncRNA (ENSCJPG00005006131.1)
Source: RNAcentral
ACACUGUUGCAUGAUGGGUAAGCAGUAUGCAAAUCAGAAGCCUUAAGCCAAGAAUAGCAAAUUGGUCAAGAAAACUGUGGCUUUCAGAGAAGCAGCCUAGUGCAAGUGUCAGCAAGCGUUACGAGAUAAUCUCUGAUGUGAAAAAGUGGGAUUUGUCUGCAUGGUCAAAUGAAGCACACAGCCAUAUGUCCAGAACAGCCAGCAGGAGAUGCUUUGUUUUCCCUGUCACUGGAGAGCAGAACUGCUAAAUAAAAUAGAGAGAAAAGAAAAAGGAACACAAGGAAAUUCAACACUCUUUACAUUAUAAGUAGCACUUUUUUCUGCUUUUGUUUCAGGACUGAACUAUCUCCCAUAAAAGCUUUGUUACAUAUUGAGUAUUGACAUCCACAGCACUAAGAGUUUAAAUGAGAAGGUACUGGAUCUGCUUAGCUACAGAUAAAUAGAAUUGGUCAGCAGCUGUCAGUUUGUUGGGAAAAAACAGGGGCAUAAAAAGUAAUAGAAAGAACAGUCAGGGUUAGCAGAUGGAUGGAAUACAAAAAGGUUUUUUUAAAUAACAGUAGUAAUUUAUGUUGACUCACUACUGUUGGACCAUCUAAGCUUACCUUUCAGAUUCUAUAUAAAUCUCUUAAAUUACUGUUCCACCCUACUGUCUUAAAUAACAUAAGUGAAUGUAAUGAUUAAUCUUCACUACAAAUUUGCUUAAUAAGCACCAGUGCAUGAGGACUCUAUACUCUCUCUGCAUUUCUUUAGAAGGCAGAAUGAUUUCUUGGAUUGUAAUGAAUCUGUAUGAUGGGAAAUACAUGUAAGCAUCCAAAAUCUAAACUCUCUAUAGUGUUAAAACAUCAUUUUAGUUAUUUGGAUACUAAGACUGGGGUGCAUUUAGUCACUGAAUUAAAAAAAAUAUAGGACACUUUAUAACUGUAAAAGAAAUGCAGAUUUUUUUUAUGUCUUUGGACUGUAAUUAUGAAGAAAAAUAUAACAAAAUGCAGCAGAUGGCAGUAAUGUACAAAGGAAACAUGAUCCUUUGCUUAUCUUAACAUAACUCUGAGAAUGCAGACUUUUUUCUGCUCCCCACACUGACUGACUAGCUUAAAGCUGGCAGAUGACUCCAUUGGCUUGUCUGGAUUUCAACUUGCUUUAGUAUGUUUGUCAGCAAGUGUCUUAAAUCAAGAUCCAGAUAGGAAGAAUCAAAGCUGAAUACCUUUACAAGUUCAAAAGAACAUUAUGAAGAUGCCGUCAGAGUGAAUAAAUAACCAGAGAAAAAAUAGCUGUUAGUAUGA